This 253-nucleotide ribosomal RNA is filed under the name uncultured bacterium. RNAcentral's name for it is "partial 16S ribosomal RNA". It matches the Rfam family "Bacterial small subunit ribosomal RNA", at positions 524 to 776 of the family's 1533-position model. The record is from RNAcentral.
UACGUAGGGUGCGAGCGUUGUCCGGAAUUAUUGGGCGUAAAGGGCUCGUAGGCGGUCUGUUGCGUCAGGAGUGAAAACUCGGGGCUUAACCCCGAGCCUGCUUCUGAUGCGGGCAGACUAGAGGUAUGCAGGGGAGAACGGAAUUCCUGGUGUAGCGGUGAAAUGCGCAGAUAUCAGGAGGAACACCGGUGGCGAAGGCGGAUCUCUGGGCCAUUACUGACGCUGAGGAGCGAAAGCGUGGGGAGCGAACAGG